AUGGACGGAAAACGGGGCGGUGGAUGGAGGUGUUGCUGCCAGGGGUCGGAUGUCCGGGUGGAAGGCCGGAUGUUCGGGCUUGACGGGCCGGAUGUCUGGGCUCUGGAUCCAGGGACGAACGGGAUGAACACUGCAUGGAGAGGUCAAAUCUGGGCGAAAUUCGGAGGAAUUUGUGGAUGGAAAUGGGGGAAAAAGGAUGGGAAGCUAGAUCCACUCAAAACAAAGCAAAUCCACGGAUCCAAACCAACAAAAUCUCAACAAACCAACAAAACACAAAAAAAUGGGGCUAUUUUUGGUGGGGAAUUUUCAAAUUAG
Molecule: ribosomal RNA, 315 nt
Filed under: Triticum aestivum (bread wheat)
Lineage: Eukaryota; Viridiplantae; Streptophyta; Magnoliopsida; Poales; Poaceae
Description: partial small subunit ribosomal RNA
Source: RNAcentral